GCAAACUUGGUCAUUUAGAGGAAGUAAAAGUCGUAACAAGGUUUCCGUAGGUAAACCUGCGGAAGGAUCAUUACAAGGUAUCAAAAAAAAUGUCGCAAAUCGCGGCAUGGUAACCAUGAUCAUCCACCUGUGUGCACUUAUUCCGGGGGGGCGAGAGGCUCUCUCUCUUUGUCUUUGCCGUUUGUCUGAUGUAUCAAAUGCUUGAUAAAUUAAUACAACUUUCAACAACGGAUUUCUUGGCUCUCGCAUCGAUGAAGAACGCAGC
RNAcentral lists this unclassified non-coding RNA (265 nucleotides) under uncultured fungus. Its description in RNAcentral is "partial contains small subunit ribosomal RNA, internal transcribed spacer 1, and 5.8S ribosomal RNA". The stretch from base 1 to 73 matches the Rfam family "Eukaryotic small subunit ribosomal RNA", at positions 1759 to 1831 of the family's 1831-position model. Lineage: Eukaryota; Fungi. The record is from RNAcentral.